This 496-nucleotide ribosomal RNA is filed under the name uncultured bacterium. RNAcentral describes it as "partial 16S ribosomal RNA". It matches the Rfam family "Bacterial small subunit ribosomal RNA", at positions 29 to 507 of the family's 1533-position model. The record is from RNAcentral.
AUGCACGCUGGCGGCGUGCCUAAUACCUGCCAGUCGAGCGAACAGAUGAGGAGCUUGCUCCUCUGACGUUAGCGGCGGCCGGGUGAGUAACACGUGGAUAACCUACCUAUAAGACUGGGAUAACUUCGGGAAACCGGAGCUAAUACCGGAUAAUAUAUUGAACCGCAUGGUUCAAUAGUGAAAGACGGUUUUGCUGUCACUUAUAGAUGGAUCCGCGCCGCAUUAGCUAGUUGGUAAGGUAACGGCUUACCAAGGCAACGAUGCGUAGCCGACCUGAGAGGGUGAUCGGCCACACUGGAACUGAGACACGGUCCAGACUCCUACGGGAGGCAGCAGUAGGGAAUCUUCCGCAAUGGGCGAAAGCCUGACGGAGCAACGCCGCGUGAGUGAUGAAGGUCUUCGGAUCGUAAAACUCUGUUAUUAGGGAAGAACAAAUGUGUAAGUAACUAUGCACGUCUUGACGGUACCUAAUCAGAAAGCCACGGCUAACUACGUG